Molecule: ribosomal RNA, 561 nt
Filed under: uncultured bacterium
Lineage: Bacteria
Description: partial 16S ribosomal RNA
Rfam family: Bacterial small subunit ribosomal RNA
Source: RNAcentral
UGGGGAAUAUUGGACAAUGGGCGCAAGCCUGAUCCAGCAAUGCCGCGUGAGUGAUGAGGGCCUUAGGGUUGUAAAGCUCUUUCGCACGCGACGAUGAUGACGGUAGCGUGAGAAGAAGCCCCGGCUAACUUCGUGCCAGCAGCCGCGGUAAUACGAAGGGGGCUAGCGUUGUUCGGAAUUACUGGGCGUAAAGGGCGCGUAGGCGGCCUGUUUAGUCAGAAGUGAAAGCCCCGGGCUCAACCUGGGAAUAGCUUUUGAUACUGGCAGGCUUGAGUUCCGGAGAGGAUGGUGGAAUUCCCAGUGUAGAGGUGAAAUUCGUAGAUAUUGGGAAGAACACCGGUGGCGAAGGCGGCCAUCUGGACGGACACUGACGCUGAGGCGCGAAAGCGUGGGGAGCAAACAGGAUUAGAUACCCUGGUAGUCCACGCCGUAAAACGAUGAAUGCUAGACGUCGGGGUGCAUGCACUUCGGUGUCGCCGCUAACGCAUUAAGCAUUCCGCCUGGGGAGUACGGCCGCAAGGUUAAAACUCAAAUGAAUUGACGGGGUCAUAGCUGUUUCCU